UUUGCUCUUCAUUUCAACAUGUCUUUUCCUCUUACUCUUUGUGAUUUUCACUUGAUCCUUUUGAGUUUUGAUUCCAAAGUUCUUAAGAGACAGAGAUCCUAUUGGCUGGUGCAAGACCAUAGCAGUUGUGUGUGUGUGUGUGUGUGUGUGUGAGAGAGAGAGAGAGAGAGAGGGAGAGGGAGAGGGAGAGGGAGAGGGAGAGGGAGAGCGCUGAGUCACUGUCUCCCAUUUCUGGCUUCGCUUCUCACAUCCACAACCCAUGUGCUCUACUUCCAUUUUUUCCUCUCAUUCCUGUUCCAAGCACAUCUGAAGGUCAAAAGGAGCAUCUCGGAAUCCUCAAGAAACAAGAAGAAAACACACUUGGAUUUUCAAAUAUCUCGAUAUUUUAACUGUGUUUUUUAAAAAAGGAUAAACAGCUCUUUUAAUCAGAAAAAGUUCAGGCAUUAUAGUAUAAAUGAAAGAAUCUCAGUCAAAAAAGCUCAACAUUUGACUAUCUGGACAGCAAUAGAGCAUGCACUCAAAGUGAAAAGAAAAUGACAUGAUGCUUAAACAAUGUUUUAAAGUCCCCCCUGCCACCCAUUUUAGGGGGAGGGGGCAUGGGGAGGAGCUUGGAUGAUGAAAGUAAGAGCAUCCCAAGGGUGGAUGAAGACAUUAAAAGGCCCUCCAGACUAAGACUCCACCAUGAGCACCUUUCACCUUGCACUUCCCCGACCCUGCUUCCCUUGUCCAGGACUACCAACAGGAUGCUGGACCAGGCUGAGCUGGACAGCCAUAGCCAGGUAGCCAGUUGGAUCCCUCUCCAGUGAUAACAAAGGUCUGGAGUCUCAGAGGGCUUUUCCUAGGACAAGACGUACCUCCAGAUCAAGAAAUUAUUUCAGCUGUGGCAUGAUCAACAAGUUCUGGAGCGGAAGGAAACCUUUCUAAACCACAAAUAACAAAAAACAUCUAUCUAUUAUGUCAGAAGACAAAGUUGUCUUUCUAUUCUCUGUACAUAAAAUGGCAUUGUAAAAUUUUUACCAUGUGAAAAAAGAUCAAUGAGUAUAACGCCAAAAAUAUAGGGAAAAGAUGUAUUACAUAGAUGGGUCAGCACUUAAGUUGUAAUUGUAGCAAAAAUUGUUAAUUAAAAC
Molecule: long non-coding RNA, 1127 nt
Filed under: Sus scrofa (pig)
Lineage: Eukaryota; Metazoa; Chordata; Mammalia; Artiodactyla; Suidae
Description: lncRNA (ENSSSCG00055019495.1)
Source: RNAcentral